GAAUUUAAGCAUAUCAAUAAGCGGAGGAAAAGAAACCAACAGGGAUUGCCUCAGUAACGGCGAGUGAAGCGGCAACAGCUCAAAUUUGAAAGCUGGCUCUUGCAGAGCCCGCGUUGUAAUUUGUAGAGGAUGCUUCGGGUGCGGCGCUGGUCUAAGUUCUUUGGAACAAGACGUCAUAGAGGGUGAGAAUCCCGUAUGUGACUAGCUGCCUGUGCCUGUGUGAAGCUCCUUCGACGAGUCGAGUUGUUUGGGAAUGCAGCUCAAAAUGGGUGGUGUACUUCAUCUAAAGCUAAAUAUUGGCCAGAGACCGAUAGCGCACAAGUAGAGUGAUCGAAAGAUGAAAAGCACUUUGGAAAGAGAGUUAAACAGUACGUGAAAUUGUUGAAAGGGAAGCGCUUGCAAUCAGACUUGCGCGGCGUCGAUCAACCUGGGUUCUCCCUGGUGCACUCGGCGCUGCUCAGGCCAGCAUCAGUUUCAGCGGUUGGAUAAAGGCCUAGGGAACGUGGGUUACUUCGGUGACUGUUAUAGCCCUAGGUGCAAUGCAGCUGCUGGGACUGAGGACCGCGCUUCGCUAGGAUGCUGGCGUAAUGGUUGUAAGCGACCCGUCUUGAAACACGGACCAAGGAGUGUAAUAUUUAUGCGAGUUUUUGGGUGUUAAACCCAUAAGCGUAAUGAAAGUGAACGGAGGUGAGAACCCUUAAGGGUGCAUCAUCGACCGAUCCUGAUGUCUUCGGAUGGAUUUGAGUAAGAGCAUAACUAUUGCGACCCGAAAGAUGAUGAUCUAUACUUGAAUAGGGUGAAGCCAGAGGAAACUCUGGUGGAGGCUCGCAGCGGUUCUGACGUGCAAAUCGAUCGUCAAAUUUGGGUAUAGGGGCGAAAGACUAAUCGAAUCAUUGCAUUGCACAAAAAGAAUUGUUGCUAGGUGAUUGAGAGAUAUAUAUGAAAUAUGUAUAUCUAGUUCCUGACAGAGGAGCUAUACUGCAAAAUUGCGGGGACCCUCUUAUUGCCUAAACUACUGCUACCUGUGCUGAAAAGCUAGAGAGCGCCAGUAAUUGCUGGAUAUAGUAAUAAUGUUUAGGAUUGAGCAACCCGCAGCCGUUCCCUAAAGCAGUUGUACUGCCAUGGGCCUGGUUCAUCGACUAGAUGGCAGUAGGUAUGGCCAAAAAUUACUUGGCUAUGUCUAAGGUAUAGUCAGACUGUAAUAGAGAUAUUAUGGAGAGGUCUGGUACUAUUAUACUGGAUCUCAAAUCGCUAGUAGCUGGUUCACGCCGAAGUUUUCCCCCU
This 1284-nucleotide ribosomal RNA is filed under the name Spathulariopsis velutipes. RNAcentral's name for it is "eukaryotic LSU rRNA". It matches the Rfam family "Eukaryotic large subunit ribosomal RNA", at positions 30 to 976 of the family's 3401-position model. The record is from RNAcentral. Lineage: Eukaryota; Fungi; Ascomycota; Leotiomycetes; Rhytismatales; Cudoniaceae.